AAAGCUCAAAUUUAAAAUCUGGCGGUCUUUGGUCGUCCGAGUUGUAAUCUAGAGAAGUGUUAUCCGCGUUGGACCGUGUACAAGUCUCCUGGAAUGGAGCACCAUAGAGGGUGAGAAUCCCGUCUUUGACAUGGACUACCAGUGCUUUGUGAUGCGCUCUCAAAGAGUCGAGUUGUUUGGGAAUGCAGCUCUAAAUGGGUGGUAAAUUCCAUCUAAAGCUAAAUAUUGGCGAGAGACCGAUAGCGAA
This 247-nucleotide ribosomal RNA is filed under the name Conocybe sp. 2 CRJH-2017. Its description in RNAcentral is "partial 28S ribosomal RNA". It matches the Rfam family "Eukaryotic large subunit ribosomal RNA", at positions 104 to 344 of the family's 3401-position model. The record is from RNAcentral. Lineage: Eukaryota; Fungi; Basidiomycota; Agaricomycetes; Agaricales; Bolbitiaceae.